Molecule: ribosomal RNA, 403 nt
Filed under: uncultured bacterium
Lineage: Bacteria
Description: partial 16S ribosomal RNA
Rfam family: Bacterial small subunit ribosomal RNA
Source: RNAcentral
GACGAACGCUGGCGGCGUGCCUAAUACAUGCAAGUCGAACGCAGGGGGGACGGGUGAGGAACAAGUGGGUAACCUCCCAUCAGAGGGGAUAACACUUGGAAACAGGUGCUAAACCGAUACUGAUGGAUGGACCCGCGGGGCAUUAGCGAGUUGGGGGGGUAAAGGCCUACCAAGGCCACGAGGCAUAGCCGACUUGAGAGGUGGAUCGGCCACACUGGGACGGGGACACGGCCCAGACUCCUACGGGAGGCAGCAGUAGGGAAUCUUCGGCAAUGGACGAAAGUCGGACCGAGCAACGCCGCGUGAGUGAAGAAGGUUUUCGGAUCGUAAACCUCUGUUGUUAGAGAAGCGGUAUCUAACCAGAAAGCCACGGCUAACUACGUGCCAGCAGCCGCGGUAAUAC